CCUUAUGAGGGGAACAACAGUUGGAAACGACUGCUAAUGCCCCAUAUGCCGAGAGGUGAAAAGUUAUAUCGCCUANGGAUGAANNNCNNGUCUGAUUAGCUANUUGGUGGGGUAACGGCUCACCAAGGCGACGAUCAGUAGCUGGUCUAAGAGGAUGAUCAGCCACACUGGGACUGAGACACGGCCCANACUCCUACGGGAGGCAGCAGUGGGGAAUUUUUCCGCAAUGGGCGAAAGCCUGACGGAGCAACGCCGCGUGAGGGAGGAAGGCCUUAGGGUUGUAAACCUCUUUUCUCUGGGAAGAAGAACUGACGGUACCAGAGGAAUAAGCCUCGGCUAACUCCGUGCCAGCAGCCGCGGUAAGACGGAGGAGGCAAGCGUUAUCCGGAAUUAUUGGGCGUAAAGCGUCCGCAGGCGGUUUUUUNANGUCUGUUGUUCAAAGCCCACAGCUCAACUGUGGAUCGGCAAUGGAAACUGGGAGACUUGAGNGUGUGGUANGGGCAGANGGAAUUCCCNGUGUNNCGGUGAAAUGCNNNNNNNGAUAUCGGGAAGAACACCAGUGGCGAAGGGCGCUCUACUGGGCCACAACUGACNCUGAGGGACGAAAG
RNAcentral lists this ribosomal RNA (608 nucleotides) under Leptolyngbya sp. 294-AC4. Its description in RNAcentral is "partial 16S ribosomal RNA". It matches the Rfam family "Bacterial small subunit ribosomal RNA", at positions 130 to 759 of the family's 1533-position model. The record is from RNAcentral. Lineage: Bacteria; Bacillati; Cyanobacteriota; Cyanophyceae; Leptolyngbyales; Leptolyngbyaceae.